ACAGCAGUAGCCGCGGGAAUACGUAGGGUGCGAGCGUUAAUCGGAAUUACUGGGCGUAAAGCGUGCGCAGGCGGUUCGUUAAGACAGAUGUGAAAUCCCCGGGCUUAACCUGGGAACUGCAUUUGUGACUGGCGAGCUAGAGUAUGGCAGAGGGGGGUAGAAUUCCACGUGUAGCAGUGAAUGCGUAGAGAUGUGGAGGAAUACCGAUGGCGAAGGCAGCCCCCUGGGCCAAUACUGACGCUCAUGCACGAAAGCGUGGGGAGCAAACAGGAUUAGAUACCCCGGUAGUCCCUGUCUCUUAUACC
Molecule: ribosomal RNA, 305 nt
Filed under: uncultured bacterium
Lineage: Bacteria
Description: partial 16S ribosomal RNA
Rfam family: Bacterial small subunit ribosomal RNA
Source: RNAcentral